RNAcentral lists this ribosomal RNA (635 nucleotides) under Microbacterium sp. Se2Ps_2413. RNAcentral describes it as "bacterial SSU rRNA". It matches the Rfam family "Bacterial small subunit ribosomal RNA", at positions 380 to 1024 of the family's 1533-position model. The record is from RNAcentral. Lineage: Bacteria; Bacillati; Actinomycetota; Actinomycetes; Micrococcales; Microbacteriaceae.
AGCCUGAUGCAGCAACGCCGCGUGAGGGACGACGGCCUUCGGGUUGUAAACCUCUUUUAGCAAGGAAGAAGCGAAAGUGACGGUACUUGCAGAAAAAGCACCGGCUAACUACGUGCCAGCAGCCGCGGUAAUACGUAGGGUGCAAGCGUUAUCCGGAAUUAUUGGGCGUAAAGAGCUCGUAGGCGGUUUGUCGCGUCUGCUGUGAAAUCUGGGGGCUCAACCCCCAGCCUGCAGUGGGUACGGGCAGACUAGAGUGCGGUAGGGGAGAUUGGAAUUCCUGGUGUAGCGGUGGAAUGCGCAGAUAUCAGGAGGAACACCGAUGGCGAAGGCAGAUCUCUGGGCCGUAACUGACGCUGAGGAGCGAAAGGGUGGGGAGCAAACAGGCUUAGAUACCCUGGUAGUCCACCCCGUAAACGUUGGGAACUAGUUGUGGGGUCCAUUCCACGGAUUCCGUGACGCAGCUAACGCAUUAAGUUCCCCGCCUGGGGAGUACGGCCGCAAGGCUAAAACUCAAAGGAAUUGACGGGGACCCGCACAAGCGGCGGAGCAUGCGGAUUAAUUCGAUGCAACGCGAAGAACCUUACCAAGGCUUGACAUAUACGAGAACGGGCUAGAAAUAGUCAACUCUUUGGACA